AAUCAACGCUGGCGGCGUGCCUAACACAUGCAAGUCGAACGAGAAAGUGGGGGCAACCCUGCGAGUACAGUGGCAGACGGGUGAGUAACACGUGAACAACCUACCCUUGAGUGGGGAAUAACACCGCGAAAGCGGAGCUAAUACCGCAUAACAUCUUGAGCUCGCAUGGGCGAGAGAUCAAAGCCGAAAGGCGCUUGAGGAGGGGUUCGCGGCUGAUUAGCUAGUUGGUGAGGUAACGGCUCACCAAGGCGACGAUCAGUAGCCGGCCUGAGAGGGCGAACGGCCACACUGGAACUGAGACACGGUCCAGACUCCUACGGGAGGCAGCAGUGGGGAAUUUUGCGCAAUGGGCGAAAGCCUGACGCAGCAACGCCGCGUGGAGGACGAAGGCCCUCGGGUCGUAAACUCCUGUCGACGGGGAAGAAAGCCGCAAGGUUUGACUGUACCCGUUGAGGAAGCCACGGCUAACUCCGUGCCAGCAGCCGCGGUAAUGUAGCGUACUCG
Molecule: ribosomal RNA, 504 nt
Filed under: uncultured bacterium
Lineage: Bacteria
Description: bacterial SSU rRNA
Rfam family: Bacterial small subunit ribosomal RNA
Source: RNAcentral